GUACUUACUCCUACGGGAGGCAGCAGUGGGGAAUCUUCCGCAAUGGGCGAAAGCCUGGCGGAGCAACGCCGCGUGAGUGAUGACGGCCUUCGGGUUGUAAAACUCUGUGAUCCGGGACGAAAAGGCAGAGUGCGAAGAACAAACUGCAUUGACGGUACCGGAAAAGCAAGCCACGGCUAACUACGUGCCAGCAGCCGCGGUAAUACGUAGGUGGCAAGCGUUGUCCGGAAUUAUUGGGCGUAAAGCGCGCGCAGGCGGCUUCCCAAGUCCCUCUUAAAAGUGCGGGGCUUAACCCCGUGAUGGGAAGGAAACUGGGAAGCUGGAGUAUCGGAGAGGAAAGUGGAAUCCCUAGUGUAGCGGUGAAAUGCGUAGAGAUUAGGAAGAACACCGGUGGCGAAGGCGACUUUCUGGACGAAAACUGACGCUGGGGCGCGAAAGCGUGGGGAGCAAACAGGAUUAGAUACCCGUGUAGUCCAGGCAU
This 481-nucleotide ribosomal RNA is filed under the name uncultured bacterium. RNAcentral describes it as "bacterial SSU rRNA". It matches the Rfam family "Bacterial small subunit ribosomal RNA", at positions 329 to 802 of the family's 1533-position model. The record is from RNAcentral.